Molecule: transfer RNA, 69 nt
Filed under: Scleropages formosus (Asian bonytongue)
Lineage: Eukaryota; Metazoa; Chordata; Actinopteri; Osteoglossiformes; Osteoglossidae
Rfam family: tRNA
About the family: Transfer RNA (tRNA) molecules are approximately 80 nucleotides in length. Their secondary structure includes four short double-helical elements and three loops (D, anti-codon, and T loops). Further hydrogen bonds mediate the characteristic L-shaped molecular structure. tRNAs have two regions of fundamental functional importance: the anti-codon, which is responsible for specific mRNA codon recognition, and the 3' end, to which the tRNAs corresponding amino acid is attached (by aminoacyl-tRNA synthetases). tRNAs cope with the degeneracy of the genetic code in two manners: having more than one tRNA (with a specific anti-codon) for a particular amino acid; and 'wobble' base-pairing, i.e. permitting non-standard base-pairing at the 3rd anti-codon position.
Source: Rfam by way of RNAcentral
GGUCUUGUGCUCCUGGGGAGCCUCUGCCUUCCCAUGCAGAUGAUCCAGGUUCGAAUCCUGGCGAGACCC